Potamilus streckersoni is the source of this 77-nucleotide non-coding RNA. The record is from the annotation of a GenBank genome assembly. NCBI's taxonomy places the organism in Eukaryota, Metazoa, Mollusca, Bivalvia, Unionida, Unionidae.
AACUGCUCCGGUGGCCUAGUUGUUAGAGCUUCCGCCUUGGGUGUGGGAGGUCGUGUGUUCGAUCCCCAGUCGAGUUA